CAUCCUUGUUUGAUUUCUUAGACGCUCAUUCUAAUUGUUGUUUACUUAGAAAUUCCUACUGUUAUACCUGAAAUUCUCUGUGUUCUUAGUUUCACAAUUUCUGCGUUAGAUCUCUAAAGUAAUUCUUGAGAUUAGAUAAACAUAUAGUCAGUAUUUCUUAAUUAUUUUUCUCUAUAAAAUCCAAACACAUUUUUUUUAUUCUUUCGAUUUUCUGCUUAGAAAUUCAUAAAAAACAAAAGAAGGUUGCCCAACCUUUAGCACCGAAUCAAGAUCUUGCUAGUCCUUUUUUACUUGCAUCCAACUGAUAAGAACAGUAAUAGAGGCGCGUGAUUUUUGGCUUGGUUUGUUCUACACGCACAAUUUUUUUGUGAGAAACUUGAAUCAGUGGCCGGAAGAUUGAUAAUUUGGCCGGAAUGUUGCUAUAAGGAACCAUUUUUAAUACAAUUUUUUAAAUCAAUGUACUAUUUGACAAAAGUGAAAACAAAAGGUACUAGUUCACAAAGUGAGGCAAAAAUAAAUACUUUCUGACAAUUUUAUCUAAAGUAAAUUAGGAACAAAUGGCUGACCUUAUUUUAAGGUCAUGGUCCAAGUCAUUUAAGAAUGGGUGUAGAAUCGGGUAUGGUCCAUAUUAAAACUCAAAUUAUUUGAAAUUUCUGGGUUCAAUUGCACAAGAUGAUGUCUCCAAACCAACUUCCGAGGAUCGUUAGAUUCGUCACCCAGUUUAUUCCAGAUAUUCUAGCAUUCACCAAGCUUACUCUUCUUCGACUAGUCCGGCCGGUAAAUGUAUCAGUACGUGCUUACUGCUUAGUAAACAUAAGCUAGCUGUUUCAAAAUGUUACAUUAAGAAAAAAAAGCUUGACUUAAGGGGUACUCUUGUUCAUAGCAGGGUUUCCUUGUAAACGUAUGCAUGCAUGGUUGUGAGGUCUACCUCUAACCAAGAGUGCAUUACAAAAUACUGCUACUUCUGUAGCAACUAAGGUGUUUUAGACAAGAUUAGAUAAAAUAUGAUUAAGUGCAUUCACCUGGA
Molecule: long non-coding RNA, 1027 nt
Organism: Spinacia oleracea (spinach)
Lineage: Eukaryota; Viridiplantae; Streptophyta; Magnoliopsida; Caryophyllales; Amaranthaceae
Exons: 2
Source: RefSeq, a predicted model, not a curated record